UGGACUAGAGUUUGAUCCUGGCUCAGAGCGAACGCUGGCGGCAGGCUUAACACAUGCAAGUCGAGCGCCCCGCAAGGGGAGCGGCAGACGGGUGAGUAACACGUGGGAACGUACCCUUCAGUUCGGAACAACCCAGGGAAACUUGGGCUAAUACCGGAUACGUCCGUAAGGAGAAAGAUUUAUCGCUGAAGGAUCGGCCCGCGUCUGAUUAGCUAGUUGGUGGGGUAAUGGCCCACCAAGGCUACGAUCAGUAGCUGGUAUGAGAGGAUGAUCAGCCACAUUGGGACUGAGACACGGCCCAAACUCCUACGGGAGGCAGCAGUGGGGAAUAUUGGACAAUGGGGGAAACCCUGAUCCAGCCAUGCCGCGUGAGUGAUGAAGGCCCUAGGGUUGUAAAGCUCUUUUAGCAGGGAAGAUAAUGACGGUACCU
RNAcentral lists this ribosomal RNA (430 nucleotides) under uncultured Alphaproteobacteria bacterium. RNAcentral describes it as "bacterial SSU rRNA". It matches the Rfam family "Bacterial small subunit ribosomal RNA", at positions 1 to 480 of the family's 1533-position model. The record is from RNAcentral. Lineage: Bacteria; Pseudomonadati; Pseudomonadota; Alphaproteobacteria.